UGGGGAAUAUUGCACAAUGGGCGCAAGCCUGAUGCAGCCAUGCCGCGUGUAUGAAGAAGGCCUUCGGGUUGUAAAGUACUUUCAGCGGGGAGGAAGGGAGUAAAGUUAAUACCUUUGCUCAUUGACGUUACCCGCAGAAGAAGCACCGGCUAACUCCGUGCCAGCAGCCGCGGUAAUACGGAGGGUGCAAGCGUUAAUCGGAAUUACUGGGCGUAAAGCGCACGCAGGCGGUUUGUUAAGUCAGAUGUGAAAUCCCCGGGCUCAACCUGGGAACUGCAUCUGAUACUGGCAAGCUUGAGUCUCGUAGAGGGGGGUAGAAUUCCAGGUGUAGCGGUGAAAUGCGUAGGGAUCUGGAGGAAUACCGGUGGCGAAGGCGGCCCCCUGGACGAAGACUGACGCUCGGGUGCGAAAGCGUGGGGAGCAAAUAGG
Molecule: ribosomal RNA, 429 nt
Filed under: Chloroflexota bacterium
Lineage: Bacteria; Bacillati; Chloroflexota
Description: Chloroflexi bacterium partial 16S ribosomal RNA
Rfam family: Bacterial small subunit ribosomal RNA
Source: RNAcentral